GACGAACGCUGGCGGCGUGCCUAAUACAUGCAAGUAGAACGCUGAAGAGAGGAGCUUGCUCUUCUUGGAUGAGUUGCGAACGGGUGAGUAACGCGUAGGUAACCUGCCUUGUAGCGGGGGAUAACUAUUGGAAACGAUAGCUAAUACCGCAUAACAAUGGAUGACACAUGUCAUUUAUUUGAAAGGGGCAAUUGCUCCACUACAAGAUGGACCUGCGUUGUAUUAGCUAGUAGGUGAGGUAAUGGCUCACCUAGGCGACGAUACAUAGCCGACCUGAGAGGGUGAUUGGCCACACUGGGACCGAGACACGGCCCAGACUCCUAAGGGAAGCAGCAGUAGGGAAUCUUCGGCAAUGGGGGCAACGCUGACCGAGCAACGCCGCGUGAGUGAAGAAGGUUUUCGGAUCGGAAAGCUCUGUUGUAAGUCAAGAAAGGGUGUGAGAGUGGAAAGUGCACACUGUGACGGUAGCUUACCAGAAAGGGACGGCUAACUACGUG
Molecule: ribosomal RNA, 497 nt
Filed under: uncultured bacterium
Lineage: Bacteria
Description: partial 16S ribosomal RNA
Rfam family: Bacterial small subunit ribosomal RNA
Source: RNAcentral